AUACGAAGGGGGCUAGCGUUGUUCGGAAUCACUGGGCGUAAAGCGCGCGUAGGCGGUCAUGCAAGUCAGAGGUGAAAUGCCGGGGCUUAACCCCGGAACUGCCUUUGAUACUGUCGAGCUUGAGUGUAGGAGAGGUUACUAGAAUUCUUGGUGUAGUGGUGAAAUACGUAGAUAUCAACAGGAAUACCGGUGGCGAAGGCGGCUAUCUGGCUAGACACUGACACUCAG
Molecule: ribosomal RNA, 228 nt
Filed under: uncultured bacterium
Lineage: Bacteria
Description: partial 16S ribosomal RNA
Rfam family: Bacterial small subunit ribosomal RNA
Source: RNAcentral